GACGAACGCUGGCGGCGUGCUUAACACAUGCAAGUCGAACGAAGUGGCGAACGGGUGAGUAACGCGUAUUCAACCUGCCCUUCAGAGGGGGACAACAGUUGGAAACGACUGCUAAUACCGCAUACUGCAGGAAGGGCUUGCGUCUGAUUAGCGAGUUGGAGGGGUAACGGCCCACCAAGGCGAUGACAAGUAGCAGGGCGUAGCGGAUGGACGGCCACAUUGGGACUGAGACACGGCCCAGAAUCCUACGGAAGGCAGCCGUGGGGAAUCUUGCGCAAUGGACGAAAGUCUGACGGAGCAACGCCGCGUGGGUGAUGACGGCCUUCGGGUUGUAGAGCUCUGUUAAUCGGGACGCGGUACCGGAAUAGAAAGACACAGGUAACUACGUGCCAGCAGCCGCGGUAAUAC
Molecule: ribosomal RNA, 408 nt
Filed under: uncultured bacterium
Lineage: Bacteria
Description: partial 16S ribosomal RNA
Rfam family: Bacterial small subunit ribosomal RNA
Source: RNAcentral